Molecule: long non-coding RNA, 1655 nt
Organism: Humulus lupulus (European hop)
Lineage: Eukaryota; Viridiplantae; Streptophyta; Magnoliopsida; Rosales; Cannabaceae
Exons: 7
Source: RefSeq, a predicted model, not a curated record
CUAGUAGCGGUUUUGGGAGUGGUUCUGGUUUUGGAUUGAACACUGAGAUCGAUCCAUUUUCUAUCAAGUCUAAAGGGUGCUCCGAUUCGCACAAGGAAGAUAGCUAGGGACAUGCUGCUUUUCUGGAAGAGAGUGGAUAAUGAGAUGGUAACUUUCAAUUUUUUUAAUGGGAGUACAUUGAUUACAGUUAAAAUAUAUUCUUGAUUUGCCUUCAAUUGUUCUAAAAAGUCAUUGAAGAAUUUUUCCAAUGUCAAAUAUAAGCUGGACUUGAAUUUUUUUUUUUUUUUUUUUUUUUUUGCAGGCAGAAUUGAGGAAAAAGGAGGAAAGAGAAGUUGCUGAAGCCCUAAGGCGUGAGCAGGAGCUUCGAGAAGCAAAGAGGCAACAACAAAGGCUGAAUUUUCUUAUUCAACAAACUGAGCUUUACAGCCACUUCAUGUAGAACAAGUCGAGCACUCAGCCAUCUGAAACUACACUUAUGGGGGAUGAGGAAACCAAUGAACAAGAAGAGCAUAUUAUCUCUAUUGAUGCUGGGAAGGUUGAGGAAGAUGAUCCUGAAGAGGCUGAACUAAAGAAAGAGGCCUUGAAAGCUGCGCAAGAUGAAGUUUCUAAGCAGAAAAAACUGACAAGUGCAUUUGAUAAUGAAUGUAUGAAGCUGCGGCAAACUAGUGAACCUGAGGCUCCACAGGAGGUUGCAGGAGCUAGUAACAUAGAUCUACUCCAUCCUUCCACCAUGCCAGUGACAUCAACUGUUCAAACACCACUGUUGUUUAGAGGCACCCUUAAAGAAUAUCAGCUGAAAGGUCUUCAGUGGCUGGUCAAUUGUUAUGAGCAGGGUUUGAAUGGCAUUCUUGCUGAUGAGAUGGGCCUUGGAAAGACCAUUCAGGCUAUGGAAUUUUUGGCUCAUCUGGCUGAAGUAAUUACUCAGCUUGGUGUCUGGCUUUUCUUUGGUGUAACUUGGGAUUCUAACUUUAAUUUUUUAAAUUUCUAUUUUUAAUUCAGGAUAAAAAUAUAUGGGGACCUUUUCUUGUUGUUGCUCCUGCAUCUGUAUUGAACAACUGGGCAGAAGAAAUUACCCGCUUUUGCCUUGACUUGAAAACUCUUCCAUAUUGGGGUGGGCUUCAGGACUGUACAGUUCUGAGGAAAAAAAUCAACCCGAAGACACUAUACCGCAGGGAUGCUGGGUUUCACAUUCUUAUCACCAGCUAUCAGCUACUUGUUUCUGAUGAGAAGUACUUUAGGCGGGUGAAAUGGCAAUAUAUGGUGUUGGAUGAAGCCCAAGCAAUUAAAAGUUCAAACAGUAUAAGAUGGAAGACACUGCUUAGUUUUAAUUGCCGAAAUAGGCUUCUGCUUACUGGCACUCCAAUCCAAAAUAAUAUGGCAAAGUUGUGGGCCUUACUACAUUUCAUUAUGCCAACCUUAUUUGAUAGUCACGAACAGUUUAAUGAGUGGUUUUCUAAAGGAAUUGAGAGCCAUGCAGAACAUGGUGGUACUUUGAAUGAGCACCAGCUUAACCGAUUGGUAAGCAUCUUUUAUGCAACAUUAUUUUUAUUUGAAACAAAACAGUACUACUGGUGUCUUUUUCAUCAGGUCUUGUAAGUGCCAUUGUGGUUUUGGACUGUCAAACAAUCAAAGACACUCUAACUGGUGUCUUUUUU